GUGUAUGGAACCUGCACUUUGAACACUGCGAUGUUGCCACAAGUUAGUAGUUCUUUCCCUGAUAUCUCAGCCUUGGACCAUAGAAUUUAUCACUAUUAUAGUAUUUACUUUUUCCUCUAGAUUAUAUAGAUUUGUGUUGUUUCCGGUCAGAUUCUCUGGUGGGUCCUGAUGCUGUCUAUUUUAAAAAUGUAAUGGCAGUCUUUUCCCCAUUUUUAAUUUCAUUUAUAUGAGUACAUUAUUUUAGUAUUUAGCAUAGAUAUUAACUUUUUUGCCAUAUACCUUUAACCACAUUUUGUCGCAUCCUGGUUCACUUGUGUCCAUAUGAUGAAAUAGAUGUAUUGGCAAUUUUCUAUACGUAAUUUUAUUUUAUUUAUGUAGAGUGUGUUUCUACUAGACCAAUGAACAAAAAACAUGCAGGUGUUUGUAUAACUGCGAUGAACUAAUUGGUGGACAUUGCCUUGUGUGGAUGGACCAUUGGUAAUGGUUAUGCGAGUUGAACACUGUUUACAUCUUGCAACUGAUUUUUGCACGACAGGUUAUGGAAGAUGAAGUGGG
Molecule: unclassified non-coding RNA, 555 nt
Filed under: Hevea brasiliensis (rubber tree)
Lineage: Eukaryota; Viridiplantae; Streptophyta; Magnoliopsida; Malpighiales; Euphorbiaceae
Source: RNAcentral